Long non-coding RNA from Tribolium madens (black flour beetle), 1174 nucleotides. RefSeq lists it as uncharacterized. The transcript has 3 exons. The record is from RefSeq and is a predicted model, not a curated record. NCBI's taxonomy places the organism in Eukaryota, Metazoa, Arthropoda, Insecta, Coleoptera, Tenebrionidae.
CAGAAAUAAUUAUGAUGAAGUGUAUAAUUUUGUUGAUCAUAUUUACUGAUUAACAUGAUAACCUUGUUCUUACUGAGAAAUCAUCGAACAGGUGUUAUGAUUUAAAUUGGUCAUAGCUCAGCAUCAAUAAUUUUAUACAACGGUCAAUUUUCAAAAUUAGAUCCGGGAUACGAAUUUUGAAUUAUUGGCUAGUACGUAGUUAAAUGGUAAUUCAUGAAUUUGUCAUUUCGUUUGCAACACAUGUCUUGUUUUUAAAAAAUAACAUCUUUGAAUAAUAAUAGGCCGCUUUGCUUUAUAUAAAAGAUUUUAAGAUGGGUAUAUUACAGUCAUAGUACAUCUUCAGUUUGUAAAGAACAGCAUCAUGUUUAAGUUUUUACUUGUGGUAAUCCUGUUGAUUACCCUUGCAGUCGGAGUUCCAGUCCCUGCACCACAACCACAACUGUAUUACGGUUCAUACCCUUAUUCUUAUGCAGGAUACGGCUAUAGCCCUUACUCUUAUGGUUACGGAUUAUAUUAUUAGAUAUUAUUUUAUUUUUGUAAUUUCAGCAUUUUAUUGUAGAAAAGUGUAGUAAUAAAACAUUUGACCGUUGAAUUGUUUUAUUGAUCUUAAAACGAAAAGAUAAAAAAUGUGAAAAAACAUUUAACAAACUAUCCCAGAACCACUUGUUUUGUGCCUCAAAACCAGUUUCUGAUUUUUGGUCUAAAACAAUAAAAGCAGUUUUUUACGUAAUAUAGCAACAAUAAAAUUACAAAGUAAAAUUUAUAGAAAAAACAAAAAGGAAACCAAAACAAUACUUGACCUAAUUAAUAUCUCUAGGUGUGUCAUUCUUCCCGACACACCUGUUUUAUGUCUUAUAUAACCGACGUAAUAUUCCAAUUUCUAUGUUAGAUUUUGCAGAUCUACUACAUAUCAAAAUGUUCAAACUUUUUGUAUUCUUGGCUUUGGUGGCUUUUGCCCUUGCCUUGCCACAACCCGAGGCUCAACCCCAAGUUGUUUACUCUCAUCAUCCAGUUUAUUCUCAUGUUGGCUACAGCGGUGUUUACGGUCAUGUUUCCCCCUAUGUAGGACAUUAUUUCUACUGAAAAUGAAAAAAGAUGUUUGCUGAAAAAUAAUAAUUAUAAUAUGUAAAAACUAAAAAAAUAAAGUACUUAUGAUCCGAAAAAUAAUCCCAAA